CCUUUUGAGUGUCAGGCCCAGAGACUGUCAGCCACUCACUCCCUCUUUACAGGCCAGGAGCUGCUCUCCUGCUGGGCUGACCCGGUCCCGCUGCCCUGCUGGAGUGGCCAGAUGUUCCCGUUUCCUGUCCUGUGGAGCUGGGUGAUCAUGGCUGUUGGGAGCACAGCUGCUUCUCUGCAACUCCUGGGUUCCUGUCUUCAAGAUUUGGCUGCAAUGAGUGAUUUCAGGCACUGGCCACCAGCCUCAGGACCUUUUGCCUGGCCUGCCUGUGUGUUUCAGAUGCCGCCGCAAGCCUGGUGGAGCAACGCCCCCGAUGGGUCCUGGUACGUCGUGGACAGGCUGAAACCCUGCACUGCACCCUGAGGAAUUCCCAGUACCCCUGGAUGAGCUGGUACCAGCAGGAUUCUCAGGGCCAACUGCAGGUGCUGGCCAGUCUGGGGAAUGUGGGCGAUAAGGAGGCCACAUCCCUUCCUGGAGCAGAUUAUCAGGCCACGCGGGUCAGUGACACAGAGCUGAGGCUGCUUGUGGCCAACGUCACCCAGAGAAGAACCUUGUUCUGCACCUGCAGUGAAGACACAGUGAGAUGCCCUCCUUGGAUCAGUGACUAAAAACCACCCCUGGUUCCCAACCACAGAGCCCAGCCUCCCCCUCCUCUGCCCUGAAACCCCUCCCAGCCUUCUUCCUCCCCACCUGGAGUCUCCCUUCUGGCCUCUUGACUCUUAAGCAGGCUCCCCCUGCCAGGACAUGCUGCCAACAAGCACAGUGACUGAUCCUCAGGGCAGACUGGCUUGGCCACUUCUGACUUUGGGGAAGACUUCAUCUGCCUCAAACUUAGUGUCUGUCUGUGUCUGCAAAAUACAGAGUUACUCUGUCUGACGCAGACGAUGGCUGCUAGGAUUAAAGAACACAACUCAGGUGAGGCCUUUAGGAAACUGCAGAGGCCCAGAUGAAGCACGUCAUUAGUGUGAGCUAUUUCCUCUGCAUGCGUAUCUGUAAAAAGCAUAUUGUAUUUUAACGCCCGUAUCAGUGCCCAGAGGGGUGCUGGAGAGAAGCCUGGGGAAAUUCUGGGAGCUCAGAAAAGGGGCAGAGGGACUAUCUCAAGGCCUGAUUCCCACUCACGCCCCUGGAAUAAAUGAGCACACACUUUUCCAAUCAGAUCCUCAUUCUUGCCCCACCCCUGCCUAACCUACUUCCACCUCACUCUUGAGCUUUUUAAAAGAGCCAGAGAGAGACUGACCUAGAAAAGGACCAGGGCCUGAGAUUCACGGUGGACGGUUUACCAAAUUCUGCCCUAAAAGCCGUGGUUCGGAACAGGGUCUGCAACCUAAGACCACAUAUGAAGUGAGGGUAGACAGAGGAGCGGAGACCAGAAGCAGAUUGGCGGAACCAGCGCCGGGGUGUUUUAUAGAGAAGCCAGAUCCUGAGACCCCUGCAGAGGGGGAGACCCGGCUGCAGCUGGUCCCCUCUGCUUCCAGCUCACAGCUUCUCCAGCCCAGACGGUGUGGACCGAGUGAGCAGGUAAGUGGGGUGCGAGGUGGGAGUGAGUGAAUGAGGAGGCGUUUCAAAGGCAGCCUGACGGGGUGGUGGUGGUGGUGGGGGGGCUGACGCAGCUGCCUGCACCUGCUCUUCCUUCCGUGGCCCUGGCGGAGAUUGAGAAGUUUGUUCCAUCAGGGGGCAGCAUCUGUCCACGGCUCUCCACGACCUGCACAGAGGGCAUGGCAGCAGCCACGGCUGUUGGUUUUGUUUCAGACCUUCUCAGCUGUGGCUGAAUACCUGCUUGGGUCUAGAAGACAAGGUCAAGAGCCUGGCUCUGAGCCCUGGGGACAUUUGGAUACCUGUGUUCUCUCAUUUCUCAAGGAAGGGUACCUCUGUUUGAGAAUAUUGUCACUGGGAGGUCCAUGGUCAGAGGCCAGAAAGCGGCUGUUAAACACAGAGAUGGUGGAGCAGGGAGGCCCUGGGCCUCUGGCUCUUAAAGCUGCCCUCUGCUCGCCGUUCGUGGAGCAACUACAGCCAAGCGUCUGGCCAGAGUGAUGGCAAAGACCAUUGCUCUAAUGGGUUCCCUUCAACCUCAGUCCUUGAGAGCUCUCUGGAGACCUCCCCGGAUGCAGUUCUGCUCACUUGGACCAUAAACUAUGACAUAAUAUCAUUGCCUAGAUCCUUGAUUCCGUAGUGAUAACACUAGCCCUUGCAGACUGGCAGAUAGCAGGAGUUCAAACAAUGUUUUUUGAUUGAAUGGGUUCUGUUAUUCCUGGUUAUUCAGUAGGAAAUAUUGAUGGCUGUCAUGUGAGCUCCUCUCUUCAGCCUGAUGAGAGUCUGUGUCUUUGCAACUUAUGUUAACUUCUUUUUCUCAUUCAAAACUUUCAAAUGCUCUAUUAGGCAAGUACACACCACCAUUUAAAAAAAAAAUUAUGGAAAUGGAUGCUUAAGAGUUUGAAUGACUUCCCCAAUGUCACACAGCUAAUGGUAGGAGAGCCAGGUCUCAAAAAUAGGAACUGUGAGUCUAUGUCUAGGACUCUCAACACCUCACUUAGCUGUCUUUUUUCAUAAUGAAUACAUUACUACCGGGAUGAAGGGAGGUGUUACCUGGCAGGUAUCUUUGCCCCCUUCCAGAAAGCCAGUGCAUGUAACCUCACUGGUGAUGGCAUCAGGAGGGGCUGUUUGGCAGUUGUGGUCAGAGGGUGCAGGGAAGUCCACACACCCCAUGGAGCAGGUCGGGUGAGUGGCCUGGAAUGAAGAGAGGAAGGGGCUACCCUAGUCACCCUGGGAUUCAGCAGGGCCAGAUGGGGAUGGACAGAAUUGUACUCUUUAAAUCUAAUUGCUUGGUGGGGGGAAGGAACAUCUCUCCUGACUGUGUAAACCGGUUCCUGCCCCCAUUGUUAUCGGCACAGUUUGGAUUAGUCUUAAGAUGGUGGAAGUGGAAGUUCCUGUCGUGGCGCAGCGGAAGUGAAUCUGACUAGUAUCCAUGAGGACACAGGUUCGGUCCCUGUCCUGGCUCGGUGGGUUAAGAUCUGGUGUUGCUGUGAGCUGUGGUGUAGGUCACAGGUGUGGCUUGAAUCUGGCUUCGCUGUGGCUGUGGCAUAGGCUGGCAACUACAGCUCUGAUUCAACCCCUAGCCUGCGAACCUCCAUAUGCUGUGGGUAUGGCCAAAACAAAACAAAACAAAACCAAAAAAACCCUGCCCCCCAAAAAAAUAAAUAAAAGAUUGUGGAGCUGUAGGACUGGCAUGUGGCUAUAGCCACCAAAGAUAGCUAUCUAUUUAGUCUCCUUUGCCUCAGUCACCCAAGAAUACACGUAUAGAAUGCCUGCUCAGUUUUCAGUAUUUUGCUAUAUAGGGUGUGACUUUCAAG
Molecule: long non-coding RNA, 3347 nt
Filed under: Sus scrofa (pig)
Lineage: Eukaryota; Metazoa; Chordata; Mammalia; Artiodactyla; Suidae
Description: lncRNA (ENSSSCG00025034484.1)
Source: RNAcentral